RNAcentral lists this ribosomal RNA (478 nucleotides) under uncultured bacterium. RNAcentral's name for it is "bacterial SSU rRNA". It matches the Rfam family "Bacterial small subunit ribosomal RNA", at positions 335 to 802 of the family's 1533-position model. The record is from RNAcentral.
ACUCCUACGGGAGGCAGCAGUGGGGAAUAUUGCACAAUGGGCAGCCAGCUGAUGCAGCCAUGCGCGUGAUGUAGGCAGAUGGGCCUUCGGGUUGAAUGAACGCACUUUUCAGUCGUGAGGAAGGUAGUGUAGUUAAUAGCUGCAUUAUUUGACGUUAGCGACAGAAGAAGCACCGGCUAACUCCGUGCCAGCAGCCGCGGUAAUACGGAGGGUGCGAGCGUUAAUCGGAAUUACUGGGCGUAAAGCGCAUGCAGGUGGUUUGUUAAGUCAGAUGUGAAAGCCCGGGGCUCAACCUCGGAAUUGCAUUUGAAACUGGCAGACUAGAGUACUGUAGAGGGGGUAGAAUUCAGGUGUAGCGGUGAAAUGCGUAGAGAUCUGAAGGAAUACCGGUGGCGAAGGCGGCCCCUGGACAGAUACUGACACUCAGAUGCGAAAGCGUGGGGAGCAAACAGGAUUAGAUACCCUGGUAGCUACGAGU